Molecule: ribosomal RNA, 603 nt
Filed under: uncultured Herbaspirillum sp.
Lineage: Bacteria; Pseudomonadati; Pseudomonadota; Betaproteobacteria; Burkholderiales; Oxalobacteraceae
Description: bacterial SSU rRNA
Rfam family: Bacterial small subunit ribosomal RNA
Source: RNAcentral
AGGGUUUGAUCCUGGCUCAGAUUGAACGCUGGUGGCAUGCCUUACACAUGCAAGUCGAACGGCAGCACGGGAGCUUGCUCCUGGUGGCGAGUGGCGAACGGGUGAGUAACAUAUCGGAACGUGCCCUAGAGUGGGGGAUAACUAGUCGAAAGAUUAGCUAAUACCGCAUACGAUCUAAGGAUGAAAGUGGGGGAUCGCAAGACCUCAUGCUCGUGGAGCGGCCGAUAUCUGAUUAGCUAGUUGGUGAGGUAAAGGCUCACCAAGGCGACGAUCAGUAGCUGGUCUGAGAGGACGACCAGCCACACUGGAACUGAGACACGGUCCAGACUCCUACGGGAGGCAGCAGUGGGGAAUUUUGGACAAUGGGCGCAAGCCUGAUCCAGCAAUGCCGCGUGAGUGAAGAAGGCCUUCGGGUUGUAAAGCUCUUUUGUCAGGGAAGAAACGGUUCUGGUUAAUACCCGGGGCUAAUGACGGUACCUGAAGAAUAAGCACCGGCUAACUACGUGCCAGCAGCCGCGGUAAUACGUAGGGUGCAAGCGUUAAUCGGAAUUACUGGGCGUAAAGCGUGCGCAGGCGGUUGUACAAGACAGAUGUGAAAUCCCC